GAACUAUAGAGUUUGAUCCUGGCUCAGAUUGAACGCUGGCGGAAUGCUUUACACAUGCAAGUCGAACGGUAGAGGGGGCAACCCCUUGAGAGUGGCGAACGGGUGAGUAAUAUAUCGGAACGUGCCCAGUCGUGGGGGAUAACGUAGUGAAAAUUACGCUAAUACCGCAUACGAUCUAAGGAUGAAAGCGGGGGAUCGCAAGACCUCGCGCGACUGGAGCGGCCGAUAUCAGAUUAGGUAGUUGGUAGGGUAAAGGCCUACCAAGCCAACGAUCUGUAGCUGGUCUGAGAGGACGACCAGCCACACUGGAACUGAGACACGGUCCAGACUCCUACGGGAGGCAGCAGUGGGGAAUUUUGGACAAUGGGCGAAAGCCUGAUCCAGCCAUUCCGCGUGCAGGAUGAAGGCCCUCGGGUUGUAAACUGCUUUUGUACAGAACGAAAAGGUUUCUAUUAAUACUAGGAGCUCAUGACGGUACUGUAAGAAUAAGCACCGGCUAACUACGUGCCAGCAGCCGCGGUAAUACGUAGGGUGCAAGCGUUAAUCGGAAUUACUGGGCGUAAAGCGUGCGCAGGCGGUUAUAUAAGUCAGAUGUGAAAUCCCCGGGCUCAACCUGGGAACUGCAUUUGAGACUGUAUAGCUAGAGUACGGUAGAGGGGGAUGGAAUUCCGCGUGUAGCAGUGAAAUGCGUAGAUAUGCGGAGGAACACCGAUGGCGAAGGCAAUCCCCUGGACCUGUACUGACGCUCAUGCACGAAAGCGUGGGGAGCAAACAGGAUU
Molecule: ribosomal RNA, 779 nt
Filed under: Limnohabitans sp.
Lineage: Bacteria; Pseudomonadati; Pseudomonadota; Betaproteobacteria; Burkholderiales; Comamonadaceae
Description: bacterial SSU rRNA
Rfam family: Bacterial small subunit ribosomal RNA
Source: RNAcentral